AUGCUCAUUGCUUCAUUGGGAUUCUCACUGGAUCCAAUCACACUGUCAAGCUUGGAUGGGAGGCCUGUCUCCUCACUUCUCCUCCUGCUCUCACAGCCACAACCACAACGUGAGAUGAGAGACAGCCACCCGCAGUCCGACACCCAAAAGGGUUACAACGGACAAGGUCAUUGGAUCUCCGAGGAUCGCACACCUCUUGACAGUCACUUGGGGUCGUGUGGAUGUUGAGAGUGAUAGUUAUUCACACUGCAACAUGUCACCAGCAGGGACUCCUCUUUAAAAAGGAUCGUGUUGAAUCCCGGUGAAGUUGUACUGCAUUGUCUCUCCAUAAUGCUUACAAUAGUAAGUGUGCUUCCAUAAGCCAAAGGUCUUUUGUCAGUGUUUCAGUCUCAGGACUCGGCGAGUCGUGAGUUCUCAGGAGAUUUGAUCCUUUUUAAAUCACAGUUGCCAAUAUGGUACUGUCAAAAUGUUUAUAACUUUGUUCCAAACAGUUUGUAUUUUUAUGU
RNAcentral lists this long non-coding RNA (506 nucleotides) under Scophthalmus maximus (turbot). RNAcentral's name for it is "lncRNA (ENSSMAG00000023180.1)". The record is from RNAcentral. Lineage: Eukaryota; Metazoa; Chordata; Actinopteri; Pleuronectiformes; Scophthalmidae.